This 503-nucleotide ribosomal RNA is filed under the name uncultured bacterium. Its description in RNAcentral is "bacterial SSU rRNA". It matches the Rfam family "Bacterial small subunit ribosomal RNA", at positions 32 to 507 of the family's 1533-position model. The record is from RNAcentral.
ACAACGCUGGCGGCGUGCCUAAUACAUGCAAGUUGAACGCAACAAAGACACCAGAGCUUGCUCUACCGUCUUUGUUGAGUAGCGAACGGGUGAGUAACGCGUGGGUAACCUGCCUUAUAGCGGGGGAUAACUAUUGGAAACGAUAGCUAAUACCGCAUAACAAUAGAGAUUGCAUAAUCUUUAUUUGAAAGUACCAACUGGUACACUAUGAGAUGGACCCGCGUUGUAUUAGCUAGUUGGUAGUGUAAUGGACUACCAAGGCGAUGAUACAUAGCCGACCUGAGAGGGUGAUCGGCCACAUUGGGACUGAGACACGGCCCAAACUCCUACGGGAGGCAGCAGUAGGGAAUCUUCGGCAAUGGACGAAAGUCUGACCGAGCAACGCCGCGUGAGUGAAGAAGGUUUUCGGAUCGUAAAACUCUGUUGUUAGAGAAGAAUGUUGAUUAGAGUGGAAAAUUAAUCAAGUGACGGUAUCUAACCAGAAAGGGACGGCUAACUACGUG